This is a long non-coding RNA of Cygnus atratus (black swan), 1815 nucleotides long. RefSeq lists it as uncharacterized. NCBI's taxonomy places the organism in Eukaryota, Metazoa, Chordata, Aves, Anseriformes, Anatidae. The record is from RefSeq and is a predicted model, not a curated record. The transcript is spliced from 3 exons.
GCAGCUGAAAACCAUCUGCUGAAGGCUGGAGCGGGGCCGUGACAGCAGGCUAGCCGAGGCUGCAGGAAGGGCUCGGCUCGGUCCAGAGGAGACACGGUGGUCACCAGUGGCCAGUGGAUUUUGGCUUUCUGGACUCUCCAGCCUGGAAGCAUGUCACUAACGCCAGUAAUGAUGAUCUGGAGGCCACAGCUGUUCACCGCUCUUUGGAGGAGCAAAGCAAAGCGGCAUGACCUGUGGCAGAGGAGCUCAUUGCCAGAACUGGAGUAAAGGCUCAGUGACUAAGCUUACUGGAAAACAGAGUUUCUGCUGGGUGGAAAGAAGCAAAUUGGAGGAAGGAAACUUUGCAUGUGCUCCAUUUGGGCAUACUUGCAGUGGGGACAUCUUGCUAGCCGAAUGCCUCGUCAAGCCUAUUUCCUCUUGCAAAGUGAGCCUGGCAGGAGCCUUCCAGACAGGUAGCGGGGCUCCAUCUGUUCAGUUCUCCUACCAGGAAGCUGAUUUUUCUUAGGGCAAAACUUUAAAUUUCUCUUGGAUAGUUUUAUUUCUGUGAAAAGGGAUAUUUUUUCAUCAGAAAAAAUAUUAUAAAGGAAAACUAGCCUAAUCUGCUCUGGAAAAAAAAAAAAAGCUGCUUACAAACAUUUGUUAGGCAGAAGCCGUAGUUUUGAUUCGGAGAUGAUGGGCUCAUCAAAGGCAAGCUUUCAGUUUCCUACGAGGGGAUAAGCCAUCCUAGGAAUACUGAUCCCCCUCAUUUUUAGAGGAGAUCAUUCAGAGUUCUCAUUUUCAUUGCCAGUAAUUCUGUUAUGAGCAGAUAAUUCUAUUAUCUAUCAUCAAUUAUUCUAUUAUCAGAUGGCAUUCGUUCAUGGUAUAAUUAUGAAUAAUUACAUCAAUUAUUCUCUCAAUUUGAGUCUUGAUACACAUUGUUUGUAGUCUGAAAACAACACCACAACAGGUCUGGGCUGUCUGCAGAAUUCAGGAAAGGAGAUUGCACCUUGGAUCAGAUCACCAUGACAAGUGUCCCGCGCAUCACCGGAGCCUCUAGAGACAUCCUCGCAGAGCUAUUCUGGCACAACCAAGUAUCCCUUUCCUCUUAAAAGUGUGAAACCUGAUAUAGGAUUGUUUUGACUGAUCUAAACACUAGAGGCAGUGAUUACAGGUAGCAGCUCUUCCUGAAGGGGAAAACAAAAUUGCCAGCUCAUGGGAACAGCAGGAAGAAGACGAACAAGACCUUCCUCAAAGUCUGAUCUCUCUCUGAAAAUCAAUGCAAGAGCUGAGAUCUCCCUGUAUACAAAUGGUGAGGCCUGCCACAGAGACCCGAGGAGAGUUGUCACUUUUAUCCUUACAGUCUUACACUGAAGAACUUCUCGUGGAGGCCCAUAAAUCCCUGAAGGAAUUCAGGGAUGGGCUGGCGUGCUGCCAGCUUGCAUUAACGGAUACCACUGCUGCCUGGCCAGCAGGCUGUAAUUUGAUGUCUGUGGGCAGAACCUGGAUGGGUAUAUUUAAUAUAUCGUCUGGUUCCCCAGGGUGAUGUACUACCAGUGACAUUUUGUAAAUCAGUGCAUGGCCAUAAGCAAAGCCAUUCUCUGUGCUUGGAGAAUUCCUGGAACACUUUAAAAAGGCACAGUAAUAAAUAAAAUGUCAUAAUGUUAAUCUCCUAAUAUAGUUUAAGUAUAUUUACUAAUUACAAGUACAGAAGAGAGCAAAACUAGAAACGGGAUAAGCUUCCUUUCCCCUAUGAGAAGCUAAUAAAAAAAAAGAGGAUGACCAGCUGAGUGCAAGAAACAAUUAUCUAAUGCAUUAUUCACAGAUGGAGAAAAAGGA